Long non-coding RNA from Centrocercus urophasianus (Greater sage-grouse), 599 nucleotides. RefSeq lists it as uncharacterized. The record is from RefSeq and is a predicted model, not a curated record. The transcript is spliced from 6 exons. Lineage: Eukaryota; Metazoa; Chordata; Aves; Galliformes; Phasianidae.
AAGAGGAAAGAAAGAGAAUAAAAAGUGAAAAGCAAUGCAUGUAAAUGUAGAGAAAGCAAGUAGGAAAGCUAACCAUAGCACAGCAAAGCAAGGCAAGGGAAAGAAUGAAACAGUGCAACCUUGCAGGAAUGGAGGAAUGGGGAAGAGCUGAGCCCUGGCUUGCCACAGGAGCUGCGCGGAAGGAGAAGAAGCUGGGCCCAAAGAUGACGCUGAUGCUCCUUAUCCAGAGGAUUGGGUGGACACUGCUUUUGUGCCUCAGGGGAACCCCAGAGGUCUUCUCAGUGAAUUAGCAGAGCGGAGUCCUGUUGCUGAGCCUGGGCUGGAUGCCAGAGGUCCUGAGGUAUGGAAAGAGACAUCGAGAACUGGAAAAUAUCCGCAGAGGCUCUCCCAUGUCCUGAAGAAAAUCAUGAAGGAGAAGGCAGCACACGAGGCAGACGGAGAGCCUGAGCACAGGGAUGCAUUUCAGGCAGGCAGCCGUCGUACAGCGCACGUCCCUCCGGGAGAAACAGAGGCCAAGCACACGACUGGCGCUCCAGUGCUGUUAAAGCCCCAGGAAGCCCUGUACAAAUGGAUCCGUGGUUUUUUUCAGAAGAAUCCAG